GAUGAACGCUGACAGAAUGCUUAACACAUGCAAGUCUUUGGCGAAGCUGUGCUUGCACAGCCUAGCCAAGGCGGACGGGUGAGUAACGCGUAAGGAACUUGCCCUGCAGUCAGGGAUAACAGACGGAAACGACUGAUAAGACCUGGUAAAGUCAGGCGGACUCAUGUCCAGCCUGAUGAAAAGUGAUGCUGCAGGAGAGCCUUGCGUCCUAUUAGCUUGUUGGUGGGGUAACGGCCCACCAAGGCGAUGAUAGGUAGCCGGCCUGAGAGGGUGGACGGCCACAAGGGGACUGAGAUACGGCCCUUACUCCUACGGGAGGCAGCAGUGGGGAAUAUUGGACAAUGGGGGCAACCCUGAUCCAGCAAUUCUGUGUGCACGAUGAAGGUUUUCGGAUUGUAAAGUGCUUUCAGCAGGGAAGAAAAAAAUGACGGUACCUGCAGAAGAAGCGACGGCUAAAUACGUGC
RNAcentral lists this ribosomal RNA (464 nucleotides) under uncultured bacterium. RNAcentral's name for it is "partial 16S ribosomal RNA". It matches the Rfam family "Bacterial small subunit ribosomal RNA", at positions 28 to 508 of the family's 1533-position model. The record is from RNAcentral.